Molecule: ribosomal RNA, 460 nt
Filed under: uncultured bacterium
Lineage: Bacteria
Description: bacterial SSU rRNA
Rfam family: Bacterial small subunit ribosomal RNA
Source: RNAcentral
AAUGAACGCUGGCGGCGCGCCUAAUACAUGCAAGUCGAGCGAGAAGACGUAGCAAUACGUUUGUAAAGCGGCGAACGGGUGAGGAAUACAUGGGUAACCUACCCUCGAGUGGGGAAUAACUAGCCGAAAGGUUAGCUAAUACCGCGUACGCUCCUUGGACUUCGGUUCAGGGAGGAAAGCGAUACCGUGGGUAUCGCGCUCUUGGUUGGGCUCAUGUCCUAUCAGCUUGUUGGUGAGGAACGGCUCACCAAGGCUUCGACGGGUAGCUGGUCUGAGAGGACGAUCAGCCACACUGGCACUGCGACACGGGCCAGACUCCUACGGGAGGCAGCAGUAAGGAAUAUUGCGCAAUGGGCGAAAGCCUGACGCAGCGACGCCGCGUGGGGGAUGAAAGUCUUCGGAUUGUAAACCCCUUUCGGGAGGGAAGAUGGAACGAGCAAUCGUUCGGACGGUACCUCCA